CUCUGGGCCAGCUGGGGAACGUCCCGCUCCUUGGCUAAGUUCAGGAUUACGCCCAGACCGAUCCGAGCGAGCCGGUCCCUGCGGGAAGGAGAGGCAGGACACAGCUGCCAGAUAUGCAACACAGCAAGAUGCAGUGGGCUGGUGUUGAGGGAAGAACUUGUGAUGGGGUGCACAGCCCAGGAACCCCUCGCUGGAUGCUCUCGUGCUCCAGGUAGGAUCUUCAUCGCAAUUAACAGGCAGGGAUCUGCUCCAGGAGUUUUCCUGCCUGGCACUUGGUCUCCAUCUCGGCGGUGUAGAGCAGGUUGAGCAGCAGGUCCAGGCCCCCCUCG
Molecule: long non-coding RNA, 329 nt
Organism: Parus major (Great Tit)
Lineage: Eukaryota; Metazoa; Chordata; Aves; Passeriformes; Paridae
Exons: 3
Source: RefSeq, a predicted model, not a curated record